Long non-coding RNA from Scatophagus argus, 828 nucleotides. RefSeq lists it as uncharacterized. Lineage: Eukaryota; Metazoa; Chordata; Actinopteri; Scatophagidae. The record is from RefSeq and is a predicted model, not a curated record. The transcript is spliced from 3 exons.
CGAAAAGGUAGACGCGUUGGGCUGCUCACUCACAUCAGCACAGACUCUGACUGCUCCGAUGUCCAUUAGCGACGACGUGACAGAUGUUGCAGAGACUACAAAUUCUUUUCCGGGAUAUUUUGCUCAUCAUUUGUUCUUCACGAGGGACCGGAUAGACGGACACGCACGGUGCGUUACUGUGGCUGAGGCGCGUUCACCUCCCUGGACAUGGAGUCAGGAGAAGACACACCCUGCUGAUGAACCCGUCCUGUCAACGCGUCAGCUCAGCUGCCUGUAUUCAAAAUGAGACAGCAGAGAGACAAUAAGUGCAGGAGUCUGAUUGAUGACAUACAGUGGUGAUGGCAGCAGAAGCGUCCAUUUGCAGGUUAUCAGGUUUUCUAAAUGCCUGCUAACAGCUCAGGGUGAAAGCUGAAAAUGUGCUGACAUAAUAAAUAAAGACUAUUGCCAGAUUUGAAAUGGAGGCAAUUUUCACUGACUAAAAAUAGAAUCAAAGGCAGGUGACUUGGUGUUUUUAGGGGCUUCAUGUUGCUUACAGAAACUACUCGUCAGCCACAUGGUAUGGUGUUCAGCUCCCAUUCGCCGUGCUGAAGUGUCCUUGAGUAGAACACAGAAUCCUCACCACUUCCAGCCAUGCAGCUCUGCAGACUCUGUGAGUUUGACUUCUGACCUCCCUGUAAAAAGCAAGGAAAAAGUAGCAUUACAGGAAACUGCUACAUGGAGAGAAAUUGGUCAGCCUUUUAUGUAAGAUAAGUAUUGUUUAUGUAUUGUUAUAUAGAGGUUUAUGUUUAUUGAGUUUGGUCUAUUGAGUGUGUGUGUGUGUGUGGACAC